RNAcentral lists this ribosomal RNA (948 nucleotides) under Acremonium sclerotigenum. Its description in RNAcentral is "partial large subunit ribosomal RNA". It matches the Rfam family "Eukaryotic large subunit ribosomal RNA", at positions 1 to 979 of the family's 3401-position model. The record is from RNAcentral. Lineage: Eukaryota; Fungi; Ascomycota; Sordariomycetes; Hypocreales; Bionectriaceae.
GGUUGACCUCAGAUCAGGUAGGAAUACCCGCUGAACUUAAGCAUAUCAAUAAGCGGAGGAAAAGAAACCAACAGGGAUUGCCCUAGUAACGGCGAGUGAAGCGGCAACAGCUCAAAUUUGAAAUCUGGCCUCACGGUCCGAAUUGUAAUUUGUAGAGGAUGUUUCUGGCGACGUGUCUUCCGAGUUCCCUGGAACGGGACGCCAUAGAGGGUGAGAGCCCCGUCCGGUCGUACACCUAGCCUCUGUGAAACUCCUUCGACGAGUCGAGUAGUUUGGGAAUGCUGCUCUAAAUGGGAGGUAUACGUCUUCUAAAGCUAAAUACCGGCCAGAGACCGAUAGCGCACAAGUAGAGUGAUCGAAAGAUGAAAAGCACUUUGAAAAGAGGGUUAAAUAGUACGUGAAAUUGCUGAAAGGGAAGCGCUUAUGACCAGACUUGGGCUCGGUGAAUCAUCCGGCGUUCUCGCCGGUGCACUUUGCCGUCCCAGGCCAGCAUCAGUUCGCGCCGGGGGAUAAAGGUUUCGGGAAUGUAGCUCCCUCGGGAGUGUUAUAGCCCGUUGCGUAAUACCCUGGCGUGGACUGAGGUCCGCGCUCUGCAAGGAUGCUGGCGUAAUGGUCAUCAGUGACCCGUCUUGAAACACGGACCAAGGAGUCGUCUUCGUAUGCGAGUGUUCGGGUGUCAAACCCCUACGCGUAAUGAAAGUGAACGUAGGAGAGAGCUUCGGCGCAUCUCCGACCGAUCCUGAUGUUCUCGGAUGGAUUUGAGUAAGAGCAUACGGGGCCGGACCCGAAAGAAGGUGAACUAUGCCUGUAUAGGGUGAAGCCAGAGGAAACUCUGGUGGAGGCUCGCAGCGGUUCUGACGUGCAAAUCGAUCGUCAAAUAUGGGCAUGGGGGCGAAAGACUAAUCGAACCUUCUAGUAGCUGGUUUCCGCCGAAGUUUCCCUCAGGAU